CCGCCCUCACGCCGCGGCUGCCGGGGAACUGCUCCCGGGGCCGGCCCCGCACCGCCCGUGCCGCUUUUAGAGCUCGUUGGGUCACGGAACCAAAGCAAAGGAUGUGGUCGUUCCAGUAUAUCGCUUUUAUAUGAAGCGUUUUAUCAAGUCACUCCUAAUUCAGAGGAUCUCGUGAGCUGGAAGGACCCACAAGGACCACCCAGUGCCACCUUGUCCCUGCACAGACACCCCAACAGUCCCACCCUGGGCAUCCCUGGAGCACUGUCCAAAGGCUCCUGGAGCUCUGUGGGGCCCUGCGCAUUCCCUGGGGAGCCUGGGCAGUGCCAGCACCCUCUGGGGAAGAACCUUUCCCUGCUCUCCAGCCUAAACCCCUCCAGACACAGCUCCAGCCGUUCUCUCGGUGCUGUCGCUGUCACAGGGAGCGGGGCCCAGAGCUGCAGCCCCAGUGCACUCUGACCUCCGUCUCCUCCAGGCUCAAGAGGCUGAGCGCCCCUGCAGACCCCAGCCCUUCCCACCCAGACACAUUCGGGAAUGUUUUCCUGCCCGGCUGUGCUCAGGAGCUCCCAGGAACAGUGCACUGCUGUGAGAGAAGGGUUUAUGAUCCAGCUGGCACUUGUCCAUCCUGUCCCUAGGUUACAGGGCACCCGUCUCCGUUUAAAACACCUUGAGGAAUAACAUGAGUCUCCAGCAGGAAGCAAGGAUUGCAUUUUCAGGGCUGCUCUUACAUCUCUGCCAUACAUUACCGCUCGUUGCCACUAGAUGUUUUCAGUCCCAAGGCAGUCCUUGAGCUGCGGGACCCCGGAGCGAUUGGCACAGGCACCAGUUGUGCAAUUCUCUGUCUGAGGGCGCCGAAGUGCAGUGAGGCAAAGUAGUGGGUCGGAGUUCUGAGCUGGCUUAACAGGCACCGCUGACAUGGCUAACAGAACAAACUCCUCUGAGUAUUUCUGGUCUUAUGAAUAUUACUGGGAUUACAUAGAUCCAAUUCCAGUAGAUGGAAGCAAGCUGAAGGUUAAUAAAUACUCCAUCGUCAUCGCCUUCUGGGUGGGCCUCGCUGCCUUCGUGACUUUUCUUUUCCUUAUUCUGCUGUGUAUGUCCUGCUCUGGAUCCACGCCAGCAAACACGGCCACGAACGGGAGCGCGGGGUCGGGCAGGAGCUCAUUAGGCAGUGACUGCACUCGCGCUAAUUAAUGGGCGCGAGAGCACCAGGGCAGAUCCUGGUGCAAGGAUGGAGCGCUUGCCAGCGGAAUCUGUUGGAAUCACUCUGCGAUCCCAGCGGUUCGAAGUUUGGGAAUGCUGCGGGACAUGCUCAAGGCGUCAGUAAUGUUUUUUCAAAGAAACCCACCACGGAGUGGUGGAAGAAAACAAUAAACAAUAAAUAUUGCCUAUUUACUGACAGUGUCUUUGCCUUUUGUGAUGUUGGCCGGCUCCACGGGGGUAAAUUAACUUCAGGAGGAGCUUUUGCUGCUGUUCUUGCUCGUGUGUUGGAAUACAGCAGAGUCCUUGUCACUUUACACCUCCGGAAACACAAAUUCAGCAGAAUUUCAGUUCGCCUGAGCUCGGAUCGGUACAGUUGGAUCCGCCUCGGUUCGCCAUAUUUCGGCUAGAUUCGGCAGAAGUCGGUUAGGCUCGGCGAAACUCGGAGCCGCUCGCUCCGUCCGGCUCGGCUCGGCUCGGCUGAACUCGGAGCCACCCGCUCUGUACGGCUGAGCUCGGCU
Pyrgilauda ruficollis (rufous-necked snowfinch) is the source of this 1715-nucleotide long non-coding RNA. RefSeq lists it as uncharacterized. The record is from RefSeq and is a predicted model, not a curated record. NCBI's taxonomy places the organism in Eukaryota, Metazoa, Chordata, Aves, Passeriformes, Passeridae. The transcript has 3 exons.